RNAcentral lists this ribosomal RNA (323 nucleotides) under uncultured eukaryote. RNAcentral's name for it is "partial 18S ribosomal RNA". It matches the Rfam family "Eukaryotic small subunit ribosomal RNA", at positions 1470 to 1796 of the family's 1831-position model. The record is from RNAcentral.
CCCCUAGACGUUCUGGGCUGCACGCGCGCUACAAUAAUACGCACAGCGAGUAUCACCGAGCUCGAAAGGGCAAGGUAAACAAUAGAAAAGGUACUGUAAUGGUUAUAGAUCCUUGUAAUUAUUGGUCUUCAACGAGGAAUUCCUAGUAGACGUAGUUCAUCAGACUGCAUCGAUUACGUCCCUGCCCUUUGUACACACCGCCCGCCGCUCCUACCGAUUGAAUGCUCAGGUGAGCCAUUCGGACUUUCAUCAUGCUGGUUUCCAGUUUUGAUGAAGGAAAGUCUUGCGAACCUUAUCAUUUAGAGGAAGGAGAAGUCGUAACA